RNAcentral lists this long non-coding RNA (665 nucleotides) under Jatropha curcas. Its description in RNAcentral is "long non-coding RNA (JCUR_LNC002869)". Lineage: Eukaryota; Viridiplantae; Streptophyta; Magnoliopsida; Malpighiales; Euphorbiaceae. The record is from RNAcentral.
CGACCGACAGGUUUAGUCGCAAAUCGGUCGCAAUUUUAUUGCAAAAUAAAACGACAUUGCCGAGUUAAAAAAUUGCGACCGAUAUUAAGGACAUUUGCGACCGACCAGUCGGUCGCAAAUUUUAGGGCUUUAAAUGUUAGACGCCCUCCUUCUUCUUUCUUCUUCUUUCUUUCUUCUACUCCUCCUCUCCUCUCCUCUUUUCGCAGCGCCACUCCAGUCCAUCCUGACGCCGCUCCAGCCCGCCUGUCGCCGCCAUCUCUGCUCCAUUGCAACUCCGGUCACUCCAUUGCUAUUUGGACACAAGUUGAGGUAAGUCUUGCGAUUUUUUUUUUUUUUGAUUUUUUUCAGGGCACUAAAUUAGGGGCGAAUUGUUAAAUAUCUACCACUACCCAUAUAAUUUUUUAGGGCAAAAUAUUAGAGCGCCCAAACGCACACCAUGUUUUAGAGAUGCCCAGCUGAAUUGAACAAAAAUACCUCAACAAAACCCUUUCAUCUCUUCUCUUCGUUGUAUUAUCCUAUCCUCUUCUCAGAUUCAGCUGCAUUCAUCGGGUGAAGAUUCACAAGUAAUUACAAUUUGAUUUAAUUUUUUCAUUAUUAAAAGUUGAUUGACAUCUCCUUGUUAAUCAUUCUGUAAUUGUUAUUUUUUAUCUUUGUUUUUUUUUUNN